Molecule: ribosomal RNA, 1201 nt
Filed under: Triticum aestivum (bread wheat)
Lineage: Eukaryota; Viridiplantae; Streptophyta; Magnoliopsida; Poales; Poaceae
Description: partial small subunit ribosomal RNA
Source: RNAcentral
CAGCAGGGCGGCCGGACCACCCACACCGCCGUCUCUCUACGCCCACACGACGCCGGAGAACCUCGCAGCGCCGAACCGGAAAAGGACCGUGCGAGCGCCGCCUGGCUCGGUGGCGUUCAUCUCCGGGAGGCGAGAGCGCGUGCAGCGCGCAGCGGCGGAGGCUUUUCUCAUCCCCCACCGCAGCUCCUGGAACCCCAACCCUCUCUUCCGCCCAAACUCCACGCGUCGAGAAAUUCGGGGAGGAUGUCCGGAUUGGCCGCGAGCGCGCUGCCUCUCGCCGCAGGUCCCAACUGCCCGCCGCGCCUACUGACGCCAUGUCCGUGCUUAUCUCCUUUUCCCAGCCAGAUCCUCACUUUCCGCCCGCGGUUUCCUUCGUUACCAGGCCCGUCUCCGCUUCCGUGGUGCAGACCCACUCGACCCAGCGGCCUAACGAGGCCUCCACUACUCAAGGUUGCCGAGCUGCAACCAUGUCUUCCUGGCCGAUUCGCUUCGGCCAGACGGCUGAAAUUUGGGGCUGCGUCGGGCAAUGGGCGUCAGGGACUUCGCGCCAGCCAAUAUCGGUUUGAUGAUGAUGAGCCGCUGUGGCUUGCGGUGGUUAGAGAAUUCGCUGUGAGUGUGAGGAACUUGGUGGUUUUCUUGGCUGAGCAGCCAAGGCAAUUGAAGCACCUCGAAUGGCCGGCCUUCCGGAAUACGUUGAGGACGGCAGCACUUACUCUCAUACUCGUUGUGGUGUUCAUUGUUGCCUUGUCUUCCAUUGAUGCUGCCCUUUCAUACAUUUUGUCCUGGCUACUUCGGAAAUCUGCGUAGUUUACUGACCUGGCAAAUUAUGAAGGAGUAGAUGAUGCUAUACAGGAGGUGGGAAGGUGGUUAAUGUCCCAGUAUACCAUGUUAUCCUGAGUGUUGAGAGAAUCGAAAGGAAUGCUCUGCAACUGGUCUGUUUUUCGCGAAUGUAUAAUGUAUUUAUGCAGUUGCUUACUAUGGUAGUUAAAUGCUAAUUAUUUCUAUUUGGUUGAGAAAGGAAAGAAGACAGAGUUACUCAUUUGCCCCUAAUUCUGUAAUUCAAACUCUUAUCUAGUUGUCGUCAGUUCUUGUUGAAUGUGCUCCACCAGUGAGAAUCUCAACUUGUUACGUUAAGAACUGUUUUCUUUUUCUUGUAAAUGUAUCGGUCCAUAUUCUGAGAUCUGAAUAAAUUUGCAUUUCU